RNAcentral lists this ribosomal RNA (506 nucleotides) under uncultured bacterium. RNAcentral's name for it is "bacterial SSU rRNA". It matches the Rfam family "Bacterial small subunit ribosomal RNA", at positions 24 to 518 of the family's 1533-position model. The record is from RNAcentral.
UCAGGAUGAACGCUAGCUACAGGCUUAACACAUGCAAGUCGAGGGGCGAGCAUGAAGUUGCUUGCAAACUUGAUGGCGACCGGCGCACGGGUGAGUAACGCGUAUCCAACCUGGCCCUUAGUAGGGGAUAGCCCGGCGAAAGUCGGAUUAAUACCCUAUGUUUUCCUAUGAGGACAUCUGAGCAGGAACAAAGAUUUAUCGCUAAGGGAUGGGGAUGCGUCUGAUUAGCUUGUCGGCGGGGUAACGGCCCACCGAGGCUACGAUCAGUAGGGGUUCUGAGAGGAAGGUCCCCCACAUUGGUACUGAGACACGGACCAAACUCCUACGGGAGGCAGCAGUGAGGAAUAUUGGUCAAUGGGCGAGAGCCUGAACCAGCCAAGUAGCGUGCAGGAUGAACCUGCCCUAUGGGUUGUAAACUGCUUUUAUGCGGGAAUAAAGUGCAUCACGUGUGGUGUUUUGUAUGUACCGCAUGAAUAAGGACCGGCUAAUUCCGUGCCAGCAGCGGC